UACGUAUGGUGCAAGCGUUAUCCGGAGUUACUGGGUGUAAAGGGAGCGUAGGCGGCGCGUUAAGUCUGAUGUGAAAACCCGAGGCUCAACCACGGGAGUGCAUUGGAAACUGGCGGGCUGGAGUGCCGGAGAGGUAAGCGGAAUUCCUAGUGUAGCGGUGAAAUGCAUAGAUAUUAGGAGGAACACCAGUGGCGAAGGCGGCUUACUGGACGGCAACUGACGCUGAGGCUCGAAAGCGUGGGGAGCAAACAGG
This 253-nucleotide ribosomal RNA is filed under the name uncultured bacterium. Its description in RNAcentral is "partial 16S ribosomal RNA". It matches the Rfam family "Bacterial small subunit ribosomal RNA", at positions 524 to 776 of the family's 1533-position model. The record is from RNAcentral.